Molecule: ribosomal RNA, 253 nt
Filed under: uncultured Ruminococcus sp.
Lineage: Bacteria; Bacillati; Bacillota; Clostridia; Eubacteriales; Oscillospiraceae
Description: partial 16S ribosomal RNA
Rfam family: Bacterial small subunit ribosomal RNA
Source: RNAcentral
UACGUAGGGGGCAAGCGUUAUCCGGAUUUACUGGGUGUAAAGGGAGCGUAGACGGUGAUGCAAGUCAGAAGUGAAAUCCAUGGGCUUAACCCAUGAACUGCUUUUGAAACUGCAGAGCUUGAGUGGAGUAGAGGUAGGCGGAAUUCCCGGUGUAGCGGUGAAAUGCGUAGAGAUCGGGAGGAACACCAGUGGCGAAAGCGGCCUGCUGGGCUCUAACUGACGCUGAGGCACGAAAGCGUGGGUAGCAAACAGG